Molecule: long non-coding RNA, 323 nt
Organism: Prosopis cineraria
Lineage: Eukaryota; Viridiplantae; Streptophyta; Magnoliopsida; Fabales; Fabaceae
Exons: 3
Source: RefSeq, a predicted model, not a curated record
CCAUUUUUAUAUUAUUUUUCUCUCUUCCUCUCACGUUGCUCGGCGUUUUCUCGCAAGGGGGGAUUAUUUUCUUUUUUCUUCAGAUUAUAUUGACAAAGAUAGUGGUGAAAAAGGAGUUGUGAAGGGGAACUUGUUAUUCAAGACACAAGGAGCGAGUCCGGCCGAGAAAGCACCAGAGGUGUAACUAUGGUGUAUGAAACACCAUCUUUUACGUUGCCUCUUAUUUUGGAUUAUACAAUGUAUCUUGUGCCAACUUAGGACAUAUCUUCUUUGUGAAGCAUGUAAACUCUAAUCCUUUUUAUUAAAAGUAUUUAUUUGACCAA